RNAcentral lists this ribosomal RNA (133 nucleotides) under uncultured bacterium. RNAcentral's name for it is "partial 16S ribosomal RNA". The record is from RNAcentral.
GUGGGUACCGUCAGCACCCGACGUAUUAGGUCGGGUGGGUUCGUUCCCACUGACAGAGCUUUACAACCCGAGGGCCUUUAUCACUCACGCGGCGUCGCUGGAUCAGGCUUUCGCCCAUUGUCCAAUAUUCCCC